This 789-nucleotide long non-coding RNA is filed under the name Elaeis guineensis (African oil palm). RNAcentral describes it as "long non-coding RNA (EGUI_LNC078798)". Lineage: Eukaryota; Viridiplantae; Streptophyta; Magnoliopsida; Arecales; Arecaceae. The record is from RNAcentral.
UCGUGUUGGGAAAUGUGUCCCAAAAAGCCAAUCGUCAAGCUGUUGACGGUUGAGCAACCAAGUAUUGUAAUUAAUUUGUUAAUAAAUAAAAUAUAUUUGACAUUUUCAUCAUAAACUUUCAUCUUCUAAUGAACUCCAUUGUUAUGAUGAAGUCCUUAGGACUAUUUAGGUUCGAUAAAGAGAGGAUUUAUCGAUUAAUCCUUAAAACUGUUCACGACCAAAUGAUAGGCUGUUAAUAAGGACGACAGCUUCUAUCGAGCAUAGGUCGCUGUAGGCCAUAUGGGUUGGUUGUCCUCUUAACCAAAGAGUGUGGAGACACUGGUAUAGCAUACAGGUGAGAUGUAAGGAUACAUCGUCAUUGAACGUGACCAACUCCAGAGUAUUCUACUGUCGAGAAUGUCUCUAAUGGGAUAUAGGUAUAAGUGUCCCUUAGACUUGAGAUUGCCUCAGUGACUUGCAAGCAACUCACUGUGCUUUGGUACUGGACUAACUGAAUUUCUAAUUCAGGGAUGGAAGGCUUCUGGGCACAGUCAAGUACUUGCGAAGUCAGAGUGUGAUCGAGAUGGGAUUGACCACUCCAAGAGUUGGAGAAAAAUGAGUCACUGUAUUUCAAUUUAGCAAAUCCUUAGCCAGGGUAAUCCAUCAGAUGGAUUUGAUAUUUUAAAAUACAAUGUGGACAACCUGAUCAGAGUUGACAGUUGAACUCUGGGGUGUCCUAUGAUCAUUUUGGUCAAGGGGAUGAAUUAUAUGAAAACUAUAUUCGCAUGGGUUCUAAGGAUGUUGUUCUAC